AUUGUGAAGGUGUGGGAUGACAUGAUAAUUGAGUCUGCUCUUGUAACAUACUACAAUUCAAGCCUUCCACGCAUGAUACAUGCCCUUCAAACCAAACUCAAGAACGGCUGGUCAAAUGAUGUUCCUGCGUGGGCAUCAUGUCAAUUUAACCAAGCGACCUGCCCAAAUCUGUAUGCUUCUGAAAGCAUUGAUCUUGCCUGCAAGUAUGCUUACAGGAACGCCACCGCAGGGACUA
Camelina sativa (false flax) is the source of this 235-nucleotide non-coding RNA. The record is from RefSeq and is a predicted model, not a curated record. Lineage: Eukaryota; Viridiplantae; Streptophyta; Magnoliopsida; Brassicales; Brassicaceae.